AAUAAACGCAGUCAUGAGUUUUCGUGUCCAAUUUUAAUCGUCCGUCUUAUUUUAAUUUUUUUAUGAUUAGUAUUUUUAAUAUUAUUAGAUUAUAAAACAUGAAUUGUACUUUACACGUGACUUAUGUUUUUUUAUUUUUUUAAAAAACAAUUUCAAAUAAGACGAACGAUUAAAGUUAAAAUUAGAAAAAAAAAACUCAUGGCUACAUUUAUU
Molecule: non-coding RNA, 213 nt
Organism: Oryza glumipatula
Lineage: Eukaryota; Viridiplantae; Streptophyta; Magnoliopsida; Poales; Poaceae
Source: Rfam